This 187-nucleotide ribosomal RNA is filed under the name uncultured bacterium. RNAcentral's name for it is "partial 16S ribosomal RNA". It matches the Rfam family "Bacterial small subunit ribosomal RNA", at positions 338 to 535 of the family's 1533-position model. The record is from RNAcentral.
CCUACGGGAGGCAGCAGUGGGGAAUAUUGCACAAUGGGGGAAACCCUGAUGCAGCAACGCCGCGUGAGCGAUGAAGGCCUUCGGGUCGUAAAGCUCUGCCCUAAGGGAAGAUUUAGACGGUACCUUAGGAGGAAGCCCCGGCUAAUCUAUCGUGCCAGCAGCCGCGGNAAUGUCAAGCUUAUCGAUA